RNAcentral lists this non-coding RNA (148 nucleotides) under Homo sapiens (human). Lineage: Eukaryota; Metazoa; Chordata; Mammalia; Primates; Hominidae. The record is from Rfam by way of RNAcentral.
GCUGGGCGUGGUGGCGCGCGCCUGUAAUCCCAGCUACUCGGGAGGCUGAGGCAGGAGAAUAGCUUGAACCCGGGAGGCAGAGGUUGCAGUGAGCCGAGAUCAUGCCAUUGCACUCCAGCCUGGGCGACAGAGCAAGAUUCUGUCUCAA